Molecule: ribosomal RNA, 2062 nt
Filed under: Austrobilharzia sp. Kuwait
Lineage: Eukaryota; Metazoa; Platyhelminthes; Trematoda; Strigeidida; Schistosomatidae
Description: SSU rRNA
Rfam family: Eukaryotic small subunit ribosomal RNA
Source: RNAcentral
CUUCCUUUCCUAGAGAUUAGCCAUGCAUGUCUAGUACAUACCCUUAAAACGGUGAAACCGCGAAUGGCAUAAAUCGGCUAUGGUUCCUUAGAUCGUAAACGCUACAUGGAUAACUGGAGUAAUUCUAGAGCUAAUACAUGCAAUUAUGCCCUGACCUGCAAGGGAACGGGUGCAUUUAUUAGAACAGAACCAACCAGGUGUGGCUUCGGCUAUGCCUGUUGCAUUCUGUGAUGACUCUGGAUAACUUUACCGAUCGCAGUCGGCCUUGUGUCGGCGACGGAUCUUUCAAAUGUCUGCCCUAUCAAUUUGUUGGUAGGUGAUCUGCCUACCAUGAUAAUAACGGGUAACGGGGAAUCAGGGUUCGAUUCCGGAGAGGGAGCCUGAGAAAUGGCUACCACAUCCAAGGACGGCAGCAGGCGCGAAAAUUACCCACUCCCGGCACGGGGAGGUAGUGACGAAAAAUACGGAUACGGGACUCAAUUGAGGCUCCGUAAUUCGAAUGAGUACAAUUUAAAUCCUUUAACGAGGACCAAUUGGAGGGCAAGUCUGGUGCCAGCAGCCGCGGUAACUCCAGCUCCAAAAGCGUAUAUUAAAGUUGCUGCAGUUAAAAAGCUCGUAGUUGGAUCUGGGUCGUGUGGUCGCACGCCGCUGCUUGAUCACGGUUUUGGUCACGAUCAGAACUAGUGUUCGGCUCGGUGUAGUGGCUGCGCAGCCUUUCAGCCGUGUCUGUGGUAAACGGGUGCUGAUGGGUUGAUAAGCUUGUCUUGUUAGCCUGUUGGCAUGCUUCCGGAUGCCUUUAAACGGGUGUCGGGAGCGGACGGCAUCUUUACUUUGAACAAAUUUGAGUGCUCAAAGCAGGCCUAUGUGCCUGAAAAUUCUUGCAUGGAAUAAUGGAAUAGGACUUCGGUUCUAUUUUGUUGGUUUUCGGAUCCGAAGUAAUGGUUAAGAGGGACAGACGGGGGCAUUUGUAUGGCGGUGUUAGAGGUGAAAUUCUGGGAUCGCCGCCAGACAAACUACAGCGAAAGCAUUUGCCAAGAAUGUUUUCAUUGAUCAGGAGCGAAAGUCAGAGUUUCGAAGACGAUCAGAUACCGUCGUAGUUCUGACCAUAAACGAUGCCAACUGACGAUCCGCGAUGGUUCUAUAAUUGACAUCGCGGGCAGUCCCCGGGAAACCUUUAAGUCUUUGGGCUCCGGGGGAAGUAUGGUUGCAAAGCUGAAACUUAAAGGAAUUGACGGAAGGGCACCACCAGGAGUGGAGCCUGCGGGUUUAAUUCGACUCAACACGGGAAAACUCACCCGGCCCGGACACUGUGAGGAUUUGACAGAUUGAUAGCUCUUUCUUGAUUCGGUGGAUGGUGGUGCAUGGCCGUUCUUAGUUGAUGGAGCGAUUUGUCUGGUUAAUUCCGAUAACGAACGAGACUUUAACCUGCUUAAUAGUAGACUGGUCCUCUGUGCUCGUUCAGGACACGGCUUCUAUUGCUUCUUUAUGGAGUGGAGUGGUCGUGAUCCGGCGGGUACGGUGCCAGUUUUUACUUCUUAGAGGGACAAGCGGCACACUUAAGUCGCACGAAAUUGAGCAAUAACAGGUCUGUGAUGCCCUUAGAUGUCCGGGGCCACACGUGCGCUACAAUGACGGUGUCAGCGAGUCUGGAAACCUGGCCCGAAAGGGUUGGGCAAACUGUUUCAUCACCGUCGUGACUGGGAUCGGGGCUUGCAAUUAUUCCCCGUGAACGAGGAAUUCCUGGUAAGUGCAAGUCAUAAGCUUGCGCUGAUUACGUCCCUGCCCUUUGUACACACCGCCCGUCGCUACUACCGAAUUGAAAUGGUUUAGUGAAGUCCGUUGGGAUUGGUUGUAGUUGAAGUGGCUUUUGUCCCCUCGACUACCGCCUGAAGAAGAAUGACCAAAAUUUUUGACCCAUUUUUAAGGAAUGUAAAGUUCGAACCAAAGGUUUUCCCGGAUAGGGUGAACCUGGCAAAAAGGAAUCACAGCGGCUCCACAUGGUUAGGCAGGGCCAUCGUAAGGGGGGGUUCGUGAACUGUAGUGAUCGUAGUGAGAGGCAUCC